RNAcentral lists this ribosomal RNA (500 nucleotides) under uncultured bacterium. Its description in RNAcentral is "partial 16S ribosomal RNA". It matches the Rfam family "Bacterial small subunit ribosomal RNA", at positions 30 to 523 of the family's 1533-position model. The record is from RNAcentral.
AUUGAACGCUGGCGGCAGGCCUAACACAUGCAAGUCGAGCGGAUGAGAGGAGCUUGCUCCUCGAUUCAGCGGCGGACGGGUGAGUCAUGCCUAGGAAUCUGCCCAGUAGUGGGGGACAACGUUUCGAAAGGAACGCUAAUACCGCAUACGUCCUACGGGAGAAAGUGGGGGAUCUUCGGACCUCACGCUAUUGGAUGAGCCUAGGUCGGAUUAGCUAGUUGGUAGAGUAAAGGCCUACCAAGGCGACGAGCCGUAACUGGUCUGAGAGGAUGAUCAGUCACACUGGAACUGAGACACGGUCCAGACUCCUACGGGAGGCAGCAGUGGGGAAUAUUGGACAAUGGGCGCAAGCCUGAUCCAGCCAUGCCGCGUGUGUGAAGAAGGCCCUCGGGUCGUAAAGCACUUUAAGUUGGGAGGAAGGGCUUACAGCGAAUACCUGUGAGUUUUGACGUUACCGACAGAAUAAGCACCGGCUAACUUCGUGCCAGCCGCCGCAGUAA